This 516-nucleotide ribosomal RNA is filed under the name uncultured bacterium. Its description in RNAcentral is "bacterial SSU rRNA". It matches the Rfam family "Bacterial small subunit ribosomal RNA", at positions 8 to 518 of the family's 1533-position model. The record is from RNAcentral.
AGAGUUUGAUUCUGGCUCAGGAUGAACGCUGGCGGCGUGCCUAAUACAUGCAAGUCGAGCGAGAACUUAAUGAUUGAAGAUUCGUCUGAUUGAUUAAGGGAAAGCGGCGGACGGGUGAGUAACGCGUAGGCAACCUGCCCUUAGCAGAGGGAUAGCCAUUGGGAACGAUGAUUAAAACCUCAUAAUGCUGAAGAGUCACAUGUCACUUCAGCCAAAGAUUUAUCGGCUAGGGAUGGGCCUGCGUCUGAUUAACUAGUUGGUGGGGUAACGGCUCACCAAGGUGACGAUCAGUAGCCGACCUGAGAGGGUGAUCGGCCACAUUGGAACUGAGACACGGUCCAAACUUCUACGGAAGGCAGCAGUAAGGAAUCUUGCACAAUGGGGGGAAAAACCCCCUGAUGCAGCAACGCCGCGUGAACGAUGAAGGCCUUAGGGUUGUAAAGUUCUGAUCUGGGGGAAGAAGAAAGUGACGGUACCCCAGGAGAAAGCCCCGGCUAAAUACGUGCCAGCCGCCGC